RNAcentral lists this ribosomal RNA (442 nucleotides) under uncultured bacterium. RNAcentral describes it as "partial 16S ribosomal RNA". It matches the Rfam family "Bacterial small subunit ribosomal RNA", at positions 338 to 795 of the family's 1533-position model. The record is from RNAcentral.
CCUACGGGAGGCAGCAGUGGGGGAUAUUGCACAAUGGGGGAAACCCUGAUGCAGCGACGCCGCGUGGGCGAAGAAGUAUUUCGGUAUGUAACGCCCUAUCAGCAGGGAAGAAGAAAUGACGGUACCUGAGUAAGAAGCACCGGCUAAAUACGUGCCAGCAGCCGCGGUAAUACGUAUGGUGCAAGAGUUAUCCGGAUUUACUGGGUGGAAAGGGAGCGCAGGCGGCACGGCAAGCCUGAUGUGAAAGCCCGCGGCCCAACCGCGGGACUGCAUUGGGAACUACCGGGCUGGAGUGCCGGAGAGGUAGGCGGAAUUCCUAGUGUAGCGGUGAAAUGCGUAGAUAUUAGGAGGAACACCAGUGGCGAAGGCGGCCUACUGGACGGUGACUGACGCUGAGGCUCGAAAGCGUGGGGAGCAAACAGGAUUAGAUACCCCAGUAGUC